CCUACGGGUGGCAGCAGUGGGGGAUAUUGCACAAUGGGGGGAACCCUGAUGCAGCGACGCCGCGUGGGUGAAGAAGCGCCUCGGCGCGUAAAGCCCUGUCAGCAGGGAAGAAAAUGACGGUACCUGAAGAAGAAGCCCCGGCUAACUACGUGCCAGCAGCCGCGGUAAUACGUAGGGGGCAAGCGUUAUCCGGAUUUACUGGGUGUAAAGGGGGCGCAGACGGCGAUGCAAGCCAGGAGUGAAAGCCCGGGGGCCAACCCCGGGACUGCUCUUGGAACUGCGUGGCUGGAGUGCAGGAGGGGCAGGCGGAAUUCCUGGUGUAGCGGUGAAAUGCGUAGAUAUCAGGAGGAACACCGGUGCCGAAGGCGGCCUGCUGGACUGCAACUGACGUUGAGGCCCGAAAGCGUGGGGAGCAAACAGGAUUAGAUACCCCUGUAGUC
RNAcentral lists this ribosomal RNA (440 nucleotides) under uncultured bacterium. RNAcentral describes it as "partial 16S ribosomal RNA". It matches the Rfam family "Bacterial small subunit ribosomal RNA", at positions 338 to 795 of the family's 1533-position model. The record is from RNAcentral.